This is a long non-coding RNA of Cygnus olor (mute swan), 7251 nucleotides long. RefSeq lists it as uncharacterized. Lineage: Eukaryota; Metazoa; Chordata; Aves; Anseriformes; Anatidae. The record is from RefSeq and is a predicted model, not a curated record. The transcript has 4 exons.
UUUAAAGCCAAAGUUUAAAUACUUGGUGCCCCUGGAAAUUAACCAUCUUAUUUGGAUGGCUAAAUGAGGAGGGAUGUGGUUAUUUUAAUUAGCCACAGUCGGAAAGUAUUUGAACUUUGCUUUAAAUUUCUCAUCUCUAAACAAAGAAUAACAAUAUAUAUGUACUCUUAUUUAUUCUUAAUUUUUGUAAAAUAUUUGGAGAUAUUAUUCUGUAAGAGGUGAUUUCAAUGCAAUUUAACAGGGGAUUUUUAAAUAACAUGUAUAAGUGAUAGCUUCUAAAAAAAAAAUGAUGCAAGGGACACAGCCUGCCCAUGGGUUUUCUGCAAGAGUUAGCUUCCUACAGGCCACUCAGUUUUGCGAGAUGGAAUUGAAAAGACACCUUCUGUCCUGGUGGGUCCUCUGCUGGGCCUGGACACUCACCUGAGGUGGUGGGUCAUGUCCUUUCUCUGAAAAGCAUGUACAUAGCAGUGGAAGAUUUUAGCAGAAAAUCCUGAGAGAUCUACUGCAGUAGAGCUAAUAUCAUCAUGAAAACUUACAACUUGAAUACUAGUAGUUCUUUAUUGAAUAUAAAUGAUGGGUGAGCUAUCUGAGCAGGUUCCAAGGCCUCUAUGUUGUUUGCGCUACUAGAUACACAUGAAAAUAUUUUGAUAUGUGCAGUGUUUUGUUUUUUCAAUUAAAUAGCAUUAGAGCAUGCAAACCUUCAUAAAUCCAGUACAAAAAUUAUUCCCAUAAAUUUUUGAAUGUGCUUAAAAAAAAACAUGAUUUCAAAGUUGGCCCUUUGUAUUUUAAAUUUGGGUUGUUUUUCUUGUAAAAAUGCUCUUGCAGUUAGCUCCCAUUUUUAAUAUUUGCAUUAUUGAUCGAUCCUUCAAGCCUUCUGAGUAUGGAAUGAUGUAAGCUUUGGCUACAUCUUCCUCAUUAACAGAGUGCUUGUUUCAUUCCUAAUUUAUUAAAUACAUUCAGCCAGUGCCAUGAAGCUUUACACUUAAUUUCUCUUGAUGAAUUGUCAAACACCCUUAAACUGUGCUGCAUUUGUGUAGUGUUACAAUCUGCCAUCAGCACUUUUUCAAAACACGGUUAAAAUAAAUAGCUCAGAAGACAGGCAUGUUUUCAUUUUUUUUUUGCUUUGUAAGGUUGCAUUUUAAUUUCUUCCCAUUUAAAAUGGUUUGAACAGAUAAUACAAACAAGCCAUACAAAUGCGCCCGCUUGUGUUUCACUAAAUAGAUCUAAGCCAGAUCCUCAGCUGCAUCCAGGAAGCACUUGAUUGCGUGGCGAGGGGAGGCAGCUGUGGCCUCCACUUCCGGAGCCACCUGAGCUGGAUGCAGAUCAGAUCAUAAGGGAGUAACUGCAGCUCACAUCACUGAAGUAAGGUCACUCGGCUUCACCAGCUGCUCUCUGCUGUGUCCCAAGGGGACCCUCCAGACCAAGCCAGGAGCAUCGAGUGGCUUGGCUGUAUCGGCAGGUAGCUACAGGGAGAGCCACCCAAAGUGCAAAAGAGAGGAUGAUCGUUGUGUUGCUUGAGAGGCAUCAUCAUCUGCUAAUGUGUCUCUGGCUUUGAUAUGGUGGACUCAGGGAAAACUUGUUCUUUUGGUGAAUUUCUCACCACUGCACCCAUGGCUUCACUUCCCUUUGUGCAGCACCUUAUUGGUCAGUCCCUCUUUCGAGCCAGUCACCACUAGGAUAUAUUUAUAUAUAUGUAUAACAAACAUAUAUGACAACCCAGUCAGGGAUUUUACUGAAAUAGAAAACAAAACCCUGUAUUUUUCCAGUUAGUCCAUACCUUGCUUCUCGUGCUCCUGUGGUGAUUUACUUGUUUAAAUUUCUGCUGUUGUUUGAGGUUUGCUGUACGUUUGAAGGAUCUAAGGUUAAAGAGAGGUGGCAUCCCUCUGCACGAUGUCACUUCUUAGCAGCUAAAUGAUUUCUGAGGCUUUCCAAUCCCUGUGAGAAGGAUUUGAGAAAAGCCUUUUAGAUGGUCAGGGUCUGUGCUUCUGCCUCAGUGAGCUGCAGCAGUGGCAACAGCAGUGGUGGGAUGAUACGACAUGCAGCACAGCUGCAGUUUAAACAGAGUUGUCUGUGUGUGUGUAGAGUUUCCUUAGUGAGUCAUGGCAUUUUUACACUUCCUGCUUGUUAAUUAUUGUGAACAACAUCCCCAAAAGAAUUCAGUGACAGAGCGGUGCCGCCGUCAGUGAAGGCAAAGGCAGAAUUUCUCCAGGAGUCGGCCCAGCAUUCAGUGAAGUAUUUUGGCAUCUAAAGUGCCCAUUACACAGGAUUUAUGAGUCUAAGUUCGGGAAAGAGAUUCAGGAAAAUGUCAAACCAGUUUAAAUAGCUAAGACAUUUAAGUUUCCCUGGCAAAACUCUACUGGUUGCUUAAAAAAUGGCUAUUAAAUGCUCCCAGCAGAGAUUCUGCCUUUGCUGUAAUGAGUACCUGAGGACCUGUCUGUGACUUUAGGCCACUUAGUAUUCAGAAAUGGGUAUUCUGUGACCUGGCUUCCUGGAGGAGAUUUCCUUUGCUAAAUGUGCUCAGGCCAAGGCUAACUCCUCCACAUGGCCUUCACAGGUAGUGCUGACUGUGGUGUUUUCUAGCCAUUGCAGAACAACUGUGCAUCGGGGAAUUUGGGGAGCAGCUGUGUUUGAGACUGUGGAUACGUGUUCAUGUCUAAUCAGGCUGGGGAGAGCCUUUGCUAUCUAUUGCAUGUGCUGGUGCUCUGAGCGUCAGACUGUUGAAAACGGGCCUGACCUUACCAUGAAGGAUGCUGUUCUUGUGUGUGUUUCUGGUUGCUUUAGAUGCUCAGUCGCAGUGCUGAAAUAUGCACUUAAAACAGUGCAUUGGGCACCAUUUGGUGCUCCCUCCCAUGCUGUUCCCCUGUGGCUGUCUCAGAUUUUCAGCAGCACUCCUGGUUCAGGGAGUGUAGUGAUAGGACAAGGAGUAGUGGUUUUAGACCAUAGAUUUUGAUUAGAUAAAGGAAAAAAAUCCUGACUAUGAGAGUGGUGAGGCACUGGAACAGGUUGCCCAGAGAAGCUGUGGAUGCCCCAUUCCUGGAAGGCCAGUUUGGAUGGGGCUUUGAGCAACCUGGUCUGGCGGGAGGUGUCCCUGCCCGUGGCAGGGGGGUUGGAACCAGAUGGUCCCUUCCUUUAAGGUCCCUUCCAACCCAAGCUAUUCUGUGAUUUUGUAUGAUUCUGUGCUGCCUGUUGUGGUCCCCAGCCUGGGCAUCUGUCUCAUUCCCUUGUGGUUUAGGGGCCUUUGUGUGUAUCAGCCCCUCUUGCAUUUCAGCGUAUAAUUGCUAAAUGCCAUGGUGUUGUGUGCCAUGGCAUUUGGUCAUUUGUUGAAUGCCAGCCUCACUGCUUUGUACCGACUGAAGUCUAGUAGAUGGGUUGUCUGUCAACUGUUAUUGUGACCCAAACUCAUUGGAAGGCAAAGCAAACCUCUCUUCCUUCUUUUCUGGGCUUUGGGCAAGCAUGCUGCUGCCAUUCUUUUGGGUGUUAGACCAGUUAUCCCUAUCUGGUGCUGUAGAUGUUGUUUUGGAAAGGGCUGUGUAGGUGCAGUCAUCUGUCUGUGUAGUUUUAUCUUCUGCUGACUAUGAAAGGCUUAUCUGCAGGUGGCACAAACAGGCUCUUGGAGGGGGGGGGGGUGUGGAAAGUGACACUAGCAUUUUGAACAGAUUUAACUAUUUAUUGGGAGAUAGAAAGUGAUUUUAAUUGAGUGAGAAUGAUUUAAUUCUCAUCAAGUUUUGCACACUGCAGAACUAGAGGCAGCGUACAAAGAGCUGUGAUCCAUACAUUGGAAUCACUGUCCAUGCAGUCACAUAAUAGUGAAGUGAGGAAUCAUUGUAACACAGAGAGCUGCAGUUUUGGCUGAAUUGGUGUGAUGACUGCAUACAAGGACUCCCUUUUCUUCUGCGUAAUAGAAAAUGCAGGAUUGUGCAAUGACAGCAAGGAUUAAGAGUCAAAUAUUAAAGCACUUGCCUACUUUCUACUGUUAAGCCCUUACUCUUGCAAAGCUUUCAAUUCCUUUAUUGAGGAACAAAUUGUUCUUCAAUGGGAGUUUUGCCUAAAUGUGGAAUCAAGGAUUCAGUCUUAUUCUUUAAUGAUGAAAGAUCAUCAUUUAAAGAACAACAUUUCUGCCACAGAUUGCCAAGUUUCAAAAUGUCUUCUUCUGUGGCAGAAUGAAGCACUGUCUAGGCUGAGUAUGAACAAUCUAGCAUGGCUGUAGAUUCAUACUGAGGUCUCUGGUACAUAAUUUUCAAUGCAGUCACUGUUGCACCUAUCAGGGUCUCAAUUAUGACAUUUCUGUGUGAGAUACAGCAGUGUUCUCUGUGUUUUGCUGACCAGAAGGAAAUUGUUCCCACAUGUUGAGGUGGACCUGGAUAACAAAGCAACAGAGAAAGUGGUGUGAAACUAACCUGUUUUUACAUGGCCUACUAGACAUGAUGAAGAAAAUAAUGUGUUACAUUUAUAAACAAUACAGUUUAAUUUCAGAGCAAUGAUUGCAGCUUAAAUCCACAUUUACUUCGUCAUCCUUUUUAUUUCCAUUUCUCUAUUGUGCCGUGAAACUGUCUAAUAACCCAGCUAAAUAACCCUCUCAUGAAUGGGUUUCAUUUAUUUAUUUAUUAUUCUAGGAUUACUAUCAACCAGCUGUAGCUUCUCUAAAUGACCAUGAAAAAAAAAUCUUUAAUAAUCUUUAAUGUUUUGAAAGAUAAAUUCAAACAUUUGGAAGUAGAAAAGCUCUUCCCCUUCAAAAUGGGCAUUAAACAUGAGAAUUUAUAUUAAUUGUCAAAUAAAUUUUCCUAGUAGUUUUUUAUUCAUCUUUGAACAGCCAUAUAAAAGGCCAAAGUAGACAUUAAUUUGAAAAGCUUGAAAAACUCUGAAGCCUAAAGGGAUUUACAGUGCUGAGGGCAAAAAGUUGUAAGCUAUCAGGCAACCCAAGGUAUUAUAAUGAUUGAAUAAAAACUUUCAGAAGUUUUAUGAAAGCAGAAGGACAUUGUCUAAUUCAAUGAGCUUUAGUGUUCAUACUUGAAAAACUACAGCUUAGAGGAAAUAAUAUGAAGAUGCUUUUACAGAUAAAUUGAUUGAUAGGGCUUCCAAUCUGCUUUAAAACAGGACUGUGCUUAAGUGGCUCAUUGAAUGGAGCAUUACUGAUAUUCCUUGAGAUAUACUUCAUCCUUCACUGGAAUGAACACUUCUGACUGCAUCUGUAGCACUGUCAAGGCAGUUGUUUAUGUUAUUGCUACCCAGCAUGACAAUUAGACACAGCAGCAUUAAAUUAGACCUUGGUUUGGUUCCUUUUGAAAGGAACAGGAGUUUUGACAUUGACUCUGCAGAGAGCAGGCUCAAGUUAUGCACUGAAGCCAUUUUCUGAAUAAGUAGUGUUGAUCAGCAUCAAAGAAACAGUGUUUCUAGGAUAAUUUUCAUUUAUGUCUCAGUCCCAAAGUCCUCACAAAGGUAAAAUUUACAUUUAGUAUACUAGAAAUAUGUCUGCUAAGUGGCAGGGCUGGCCACGCCAUUAUUUUUCUGAGUGGGGCAAAGAGGCAAAAAGCAGUGUUUGAAACUAAAAGCUGAGUAGGAAAAAUCUGUAGUAAAUAUGACUGGUUCAAAAGCAAUUGCUUCCAAGAACAAAAGGGACAAAUGAACAAUUUCAUUCCUAUUUUGCAAUUUCUCCUCUCCCUCUGGAGUGUGAACCAUAAUUAGAGCACUUAUACAAAAUCACAUUUGUCAGACUGGCUGCUAAAUUCCCCUUAAAGCUUUAUCCACAAAGAGCAGUCUGUUAUCACUCCCACUACAGCCUACAGUUCUUGUUUGCACUUUCAGGGACAGACAAGCAAUUAUUCUAUCCGUAUUGAAAAUAUCAUGUAAAUGUAACAACAGUGAAACUAGGUGAGGCCAGUUCUGCACAAAAGCUGUUUCCAGAUUUCCUGAGCAAAGACCUGUCUUGGUUCCAGCAGGAGCUAUAUGAAAAGCUGUUACCAGAUAGUGGAGGUAUGUCCUAAAGCCAACACUAGUCCCACAAACAGGGCGAGUGUUGCAAGGAAGGCUCCAUGAGCUGUGAAAUACUGCUGUCUGUACUUGUCUGCCAAGAAUAUCUCUCUCUCAAUGAGUGAGAAAAAAACAUCCAUUCUAACACAAGAAGAGACCCUCAUGGAUGAGAGACCAGACUUCUCUAGAGAGGGUGAAUUACGCCCUGGUAGCUUCUGGUGCCAUAAGAUCAGCUGGAGCCCUGUCACCAGAGGAUCUCUCCUCCUCAACCCUUCUGCAAGAGCUCUUAAGGUACUGUAUCCUCUCGUAAUUGAUGAGAGGAAGAUGCCAUUAACAGAUACAGCUCUUGCCUGACUGACAGAUCUUGACAGUAUUAAACAGAUUCAAAAAGAACUCAAUUUUUCUCGACUUCAUGUUGCCCCUGAAGAGUAGUAGUUAAGCUACUGCGACAGACACUUCUCUCCCAGCAGAGGCAUAGGAUGCCUCAAAGAUUUGACUCCAUUGCUCCACAUACCUCUGCACAUCCACAGGCAAGCCGGGGCAGACACCCACCAGAAGCAAUGUACGUGUCUGGCAGGUAUGGGUGCGCUAGGGACCUUUGAACAUGGAAAAAUGAAUUGAUGAAUUUAAUGAAUUUAAAAUUUAUUUAUUAAUUAUAUAAUUAUUUAUUUAUAAAUAUUGAUGUAGUUGUUUACCGUUAGGAUAUAUGACUGUUGAGGCUGUUAGUAAUAACAAUAGGAAGUCAUACACUUAAACAAGUGCAAACCUUCCUCAGCAAGUGAUGAAGGCUGCAUAAGUGCCUUGACAAAUUAUUUGUCAACUGCUUUUAAAAUGUCAUACAGGGAUGUUAGCUCCUAUCAUAAAUCCAGGUGCCUUACUGAGUUUAUAUGGUGAUCUCUAGUGUCUGCCCUCUGCUGUCCAAUCUCAGUGCUCUGUGGAUGCCUAAAGGAAAACCUCAGCGCACAGGCAGAAGCAGCCCCAUCCCACAACCAUCUGUGUCCCUUUCUUGCCUAAAUUUCAGUGUGGUCCCAAUAGCCUGGACUUCAUAUCAUACAGAAUUGGUGAUUAGCCUUCAUGGUGGUAAGGGUUCAAAACCUGGACAGACCCAAACUGGUGUUUCUCUCACCGGGAAGAAGAACACUAAACUCAAUUUAGAGGACACCAUGUGUCGUGGAGCCCCUUUCAGCCUGUUUUGCCUAUGCCACCAUGCUGCAGGAUUCAUCUUCCACCCAGUGACUGUGCAAUGUGUGUAAACCCUGCAGGGAGCAGUCACCAGCAUGGCCC